Molecule: ribosomal RNA, 467 nt
Filed under: uncultured bacterium
Lineage: Bacteria
Description: partial 16S ribosomal RNA
Rfam family: Bacterial small subunit ribosomal RNA
Source: RNAcentral
GAUGAACGCUGGCGGCGUGCUUAACACAUGCAAGUCGAACGGAAAGGCCCAAUCUUGCUUGGGUACUCGAGUGGCGAACGGGUGAGUAACACGUGGGUGAUCUGCCCUGCACUUCGGGAUAAGCCUGGGAAACUGGGUCUAAUACCGGAUAGGACGAUGGGUUGCAUGCUAUUGUUGAAAGUUUUUUGGGUGUGGGUUAAGCUCGCGGCCUAUCACCUUGUUGGUGGGGUAAUGGCCUACCAAGGCGUCGACGGGUAGCCGGCCUGAGAGGGUGUACGGCCACAUUGGGACUGAGAUAAGGCCCAGAAUCCUACGGGAGGAAGGAGUGGGGAAUAUUACACAAAGGGGGCGAGCCUGAUGGAACGACGCCGCGGGGGGGAAGACGGGCUUGCGGUUGUAAACUCCUUUCGCUAGGGACGAAGCGUUUUGUGACGGUACCUGGAGAAGAAGCACCGGCUAACUACGUG